CACCAUAACCACUAUACUCCAUUUAGAGGUACAGACCCACCAUAACCACUAUACUCCAUUUAGAGAUUCAUACCCACCAUAACCACUAUACUCCAUUUAGAGGUACAGACCCACCAUAACCACUAUACUCCAUAUAGAGAUUCAUACCCAUCAUAACCACUAUACUCCAUAUAGAGGUACAGACCCAUCAUAACCACUAUACUCCAUUUAGAGAUUCAUACCCACUAUAACCACUAUACUCCAUAUAGAGAUUCAUACCCAUCAUAACCACUAUACUCCAUAUAGAGGUACAGACCCACCAUAACCACUAUACUCCAUAUAGAGAUUCAUACCCACCAUAACCACUAUACUCCAUAUAGAGAUUCAUACCCACCAUAACCACUAUACUCCAUAUAGAGAUCCAUACCCACUAUAACCACUAUACUCCAUAUAGAGAUCCAUACCCACUAUAACCACUAUACUCCAUAUAGAGGUACAGACCCACCAUAACCACUAUACUCCAUAUAGAGAUCCAUACCCACC
Oncorhynchus tshawytscha (Chinook salmon) is the source of this 522-nucleotide long non-coding RNA. Lineage: Eukaryota; Metazoa; Chordata; Actinopteri; Salmoniformes; Salmonidae. The record is from Ensembl.